UAGUCCUUAACUCAAAUUGCAUUUUGUCUAAAUGAUCCUUCAAUUUCUGACUUGUGCCUCAAGUUUUAGGCAAGAAUUAUGUUUUAGUCCUUGUUAGAAGGUUCUAAGGGAUUACUAUCAGGUUUUUUACAGGUUCAAAUCCCUCUUAUACCCUCACUUCCUUUUAUAAAUUACCCCCCCUCUUGAAGUUUUGACCUUAGUCAAUUCCUUGACCCUAGUUUAGUUACAAUUGACCUUGGUCAAUCAAAUUUGGGUCACCCUUUAAUUUUAGACUAACAGGCUCAUGAAAAUUCAGAAUUAGCAAACAUUAUCAAGGCUCAAAAUAAAUGCCUUAAUGUUGAUUUUCACAUCCAAACAUUAUCAAAACAAAGGACUAGAAGAAUGAAUACACUUAUCAACACUCAGUUUUCAUAAAUGCCUCAAUCAAAAUGCUUCAGAAAUACUUAACAACGAGAAACACACAUCAAUUUGGUUCAAGAAUCACCUUAGGAAGCAAGUAAAGACUACCAAUGAGCAAUUAAAGGUCUCAACCCCCCAAAUCAACUUAAACCAACAUCAAUUCUGAAAAAUCAAAGUCAUUAUGGCAAUCAAAUACUUAGGGGACAAGAAAUCAUAGAAUCAGAAGAUGGAUGUCAAUUAAGCCCUUAAAAUCACAUCACUGAAGAAUUAACUAGACUUUCAAGAUCAAGGAGCUGAUAUUAACAGAAAAUUAUUCAAGAGACGAACAGACUUCCAGACCAGUGUCAAACAAAGCAUAUGAAUAUUGAAACCUUUUUCAGAUGAACUUGUGGACAAACAGACAAGCAACCAAAAGAAAAUCAAAUAAAAGAACUUCAAACUAUUAAACAUAACUACUGAACCUAAUGAAUUAUUAAAACAAAUCAAGCAUUUAAUCAGCUAAAAUAUGAAAAUAUACAGAAAACUUAGCUUUUUCAUGCAUGUCCGUUUAGACCCUUUCAUCAGCUCUUGACACCUGCCACAGGGUUUCGAACACUCCUAAGAUGUAUAUUCAGUUUAAGAGCUCAGGGGAGGGUUUUCAAGGUUCUAAGACCUCAGUAAGGUCUCAGAUUUAGAUUUUUUCAGUGGUUGGGGUUGUUUGGGACUCAUGGGUGAUAUGGUUGGGGACUGGAGGGAUCAGGGACUGUCUAGGAGGAUUUUGAGUCCUUUCCGACGUGUUUUGUGUUUUAGGGUUAGGCUUCGAAUUGAAAUUCGAAGAGUUUCAGGAAGAUUCGAGAAGGGUGACAUACAUGGUUGGAACAGGGAGAUUAAGGUGCCUUAGGGGUGUAAAUCUGGAGGGCUUUAGA
RNAcentral lists this long non-coding RNA (1304 nucleotides) under Nicotiana benthamiana. Its description in RNAcentral is "long non-coding RNA (NBEN_LNC041822)". The record is from RNAcentral. Lineage: Eukaryota; Viridiplantae; Streptophyta; Magnoliopsida; Solanales; Solanaceae.